AAUGAACGCUGGCGGCAUGGCUAAGACAUGCAAGUCGAACGGACCAUUUUGAAGAGUAAUCGGAUUCAUGGUUAGUGGCGAAAGGGUGAGGAAUAGAUAGGUAACGUACCUUUGGCUUCGGAAUAGCUCAUCGAAAGGUGGGGUAAUGCCGGAUGAUGUCACUUGAUUAAUUCAGGUGACCAAAGAUUUAUCGGCCAUUGAGCGGCCUAUCUCCUAUCAGCUUGUUGGUGAGGUAACGGCUCACCAAGGCUACGACGGGUAGCGGGACUGAGAGGUUGGCCCGCCACAUCGGAACUGAGACACUGUCCGGACCUCCACGGAGGGCUGCAGUAACGAAUAUUGGGCAAUGGGCGAAAGCCUGACCCAGCAAUGCCGCGUGCAGGAUGAAGCCCCUCGGGGUGUAAACUGCUUUCAGGGAUUAGAAAGCUUCGGUUGAUCAGUCCCAGAAGAAGUCACGGCUAACUUCGUG
This 469-nucleotide ribosomal RNA is filed under the name uncultured bacterium. RNAcentral describes it as "bacterial SSU rRNA". It matches the Rfam family "Bacterial small subunit ribosomal RNA", at positions 29 to 507 of the family's 1533-position model. The record is from RNAcentral.